This 392-nucleotide ribosomal RNA is filed under the name uncultured bacterium. Its description in RNAcentral is "partial 16S ribosomal RNA". It matches the Rfam family "Bacterial small subunit ribosomal RNA", at positions 523 to 918 of the family's 1533-position model. The record is from RNAcentral.
AUACGGAGGAUCCGAGCGUUAUCCGGAUUUAUUGGGUUUAAAGGGUGCGCAGGCGGCCAUUUAAGUCAGCGGUUAAAUCGUGGGGCUCAACCCCAUUCUGCCGUUGAUACUGGGUGGCUUGAUUGCGGUCGAGGUUGGCGGAAUUCGUUGUGUAGCGGUGAAAUGCAUAGAUAUGACGAAGAACACCGAUUGCGUAGGCAGCUGACCAGACCGCAAAUGACGCUCAUGCACGAAAGUGCGGGGAUCGAACAGGAUUAGAUACCCUGGUAGUCCGCACAGUAAACGAUGAAUACUUGUUUUCGGCGAUAUAAUGUCGGAGGGAAAGCGAAAGCGAUAAGUAUUCCACCUGGGGAGUACGCCGGCAACGGUGAGACUCAAAUGAAUUGACGGGG